GCCCCGGUCGUCUAGCCCGGUCAACCUGCAGGGGGUUGAGAGGAUAUCGGCCUUUCGAGCCGAGGAUCCCGGGUUCAAAUCCCGGCCGGGGCACCA
Molecule: non-coding RNA, 96 nt
Filed under: Thermofilum pendens
Lineage: Archaea; Thermoproteati; Thermoproteota; Thermoprotei; Thermofilales; Thermofilaceae
Description: tRNA-Glu
Rfam family: tRNA
About the family: Transfer RNA (tRNA) molecules are approximately 80 nucleotides in length. Their secondary structure includes four short double-helical elements and three loops (D, anti-codon, and T loops).
Source: RNAcentral